This 200-nucleotide ribosomal RNA is filed under the name uncultured bacterium. RNAcentral's name for it is "partial 16S ribosomal RNA". It matches the Rfam family "Bacterial small subunit ribosomal RNA", at positions 30 to 242 of the family's 1533-position model. The record is from RNAcentral.
AUUGAACGCUGGCGGCAGGCCUAACACAUGCAAGUCGAGCGGGGUUUUCGGACCUAGCGGCGGACGGGUGAGUAAUGCGUAGGAAGCUGCCCGAUAGAGGGGGAUACCAGUUGGCAACGACUGUUAAUACCGCAUAAUGUCUACGGACCAAAGUGUGGGACCUUCGGGCCACAUGCUAUCGGAUGCGCCUACGUGAGAUU